GCGGGGGUGGAGCAGCUCGGUAGCUCGCUGGGCUCAUAACCCAGAGGUCGCAGGUUCAAAUCCUGUCCCCCGCU
This 74-nucleotide transfer RNA is filed under the name Streptomyces sp. SID7803. RNAcentral's name for it is "tRNA-Met". It matches the Rfam family "tRNA". From Rfam's summary of the family: Transfer RNA (tRNA) molecules are approximately 80 nucleotides in length. Their secondary structure includes four short double-helical elements and three loops (D, anti-codon, and T loops). Further hydrogen bonds mediate the characteristic L-shaped molecular structure. tRNAs have two regions of fundamental functional importance: the anti-codon, which is responsible for specific mRNA codon recognition, and the 3' end, to which the tRNAs corresponding amino acid is attached (by aminoacyl-tRNA synthetases). tRNAs cope with the degeneracy of the genetic code in two manners: having more than one tRNA (with a specific anti-codon) for a particular amino acid; and 'wobble' base-pairing, i.e. permitting non-standard base-pairing at the 3rd anti-codon position. The record is from RNAcentral. Lineage: Bacteria; Bacillati; Actinomycetota; Actinomycetes; Kitasatosporales; Streptomycetaceae.